CGACGGCGUGGUUCACGGAGGCGGACCGCCAGGUGCGCACCGGCCAGUUCGCCGCGCUGCUCGGGCCGGCGACCGUCGUC
Molecule: transfer RNA, 80 nt
Filed under: Cellulosimicrobium cellulans
Lineage: Bacteria; Bacillati; Actinomycetota; Actinomycetes; Micrococcales; Promicromonosporaceae
Description: tRNA-Arg
Source: RNAcentral